Molecule: long non-coding RNA, 5232 nt
Organism: Ostrea edulis (European flat oyster)
Lineage: Eukaryota; Metazoa; Mollusca; Bivalvia; Ostreida; Ostreidae
Exons: 2
Source: RefSeq, a predicted model, not a curated record
UCUCCCGUAUGAAUGCACUAUUUUUCAUAUUUUUGAAAAGCAUAUAUUCCCUGCUUUCAGAACAUAUAAAAAUUAUUUUUAAUGCCUGGCAAAGUUAUGAGAAAAUAGCAAUUUCUGGCACAUGUACGCUUUCUUACGAUUUUAUUUCUCAAUGUUUAAAUAGAUCGGCGUUUUACCAAUAUUCAUAUAUGGAAAUAGGGAAAAGUAAGUACAGCCUGUAAAAGUAAAGGAAAUUUUCUUUUUGAUGGGCCCUUAUUCGUGUUAUAAUUCUUGGUAGUUUUUAUAUUACGAUAAAAUGAAAUUGGGACAUGCUACGGGGUUUUCUUUAAAAUUAGCGACAAAACGUCGUCUCUGAAAGUGAUCGACGCACGUCGCACAAUAAAGUAGUGAAAACUAUCUGUGUUGUCCUCUAUUGGUAAAAUACUUUUUUAUACACUAAAACAAUAUACACAUAUAUGUAUCAAAUAAUCAGCCAGGUAUUCUCUGCUUUUUUUUUAAAGUAUAAAACCAUUAUUGGUAAAGUAAUAACAGUUACUCCACCUACUUGUAACUUCAUAAAACACUUGGGCUAAUGAGAAUGUUACAUCGGUAGAGUAAAUUAAAAAAAAAAAACUUCAUAUUCAAAUAUAAACGUUAUGUAAUAUUUGUUCGGAAUAGAAAUAGAUUUUUUUUUUCUGUCAAACAAAGAAAACAAAAAGAUCAGUCUGCAUAUAUUGUAUAUAUACUUUUUUUUCCGUGAUCCGGAUCGUGGCCGCGGGGUUUUCUGACUGUGUGCACGGGCAACACACGUGUUUCCGUUUCAACGAAAACAACACAACAAACGCUUGUAAUGUAUUUUACAUCUUGAAAACGACCUGAUGUCAGAUGAAGAAGUCUGAAGAUACCCUGGCCUGGAUAUCCUGUUGCAGGAUGACCCACACGAUCAUGCAUUCAGUAUAAACAUGUAAGUUGAUGUAGGCACAUAGGCCGACUAGGAAAAAAAGAAUGUUCGCGGUCAUGUUAUGAAAAAUCCGCGAUUUGAUGCCAUAAUUUUAUCGUUUCAUGAAAGAAAAUAUUUAUAUUUAAUGAUAUCUAAACCAAGUGUAUAAGACCCAAUUGUUUAUUAAGAGCUGAACAUAUCUUACAUCAAUUAAUAUUUCCUGGCCCGGCAUUAGUCAGUCUGAUUCCCCCCCCCCCCCCCUCUUUUGGGGGAGAGUAUAUCUUCACCUGACGCGCGAGUGUAAGUGGAGGGCACAGGGUUUUGACACAAUAUGAGCAAAUUGGUAUAUAUAAUAUAAUAUUAUACUAUAUGUACCAAUUUGCUCCUAUUGUGUCAAAACCCUGUGGUAGAGGGUGGAUUUAGUGUACGAUGAGAAGGGGUGGGAUGGUUUUAAUCAGACUGGGCAUUCGUGACCAUUGAUGCGUAGGCUACUUUCCAAGAUUUUUCUAUGUUUAUAAAAAAAAAAUAUCUUUCUAUGAGAAGAAAUCACAAUCUGUUAGGAAAGCAUAUAUUACAUUAUUGUAUUAUCGUAAUAAUAGAAUUUAUUACCAUAAUUGGAGUUGUUUCUUCAUAUUGUAACAGAAAUAUAAACGAAAUGUAUGUUUGGGACAAAAGGUGGGGGGGGGGUAUCAUCAAUCAAAAUCUGGUUAUGACAGGCUAUUGAAAAAUCAUUUAAUUAUAUGAUCCAUACAUAUUGGUGUGCUAUGAACUGAUGGGCAUGUGCCCACUUCUUGGAUUUCUCUAAUUUCGACUAAAUCCACACCCCAUCAGAGUACCAUGCCAGGGGAUUUAGACACUGUGUACAAUGAAGAACCAAUUUAAUUCUACUUUAAAUCAGGGGCCAUUCAAUUUCCCUCAGAGGCACAAUAUUUUCGCUGGACACUGUAUGUUUUAACCUGAAUUUCUUCAGUAUUUGCUCCCAUUUAUAUGUUGGGCAUAAUACUAACGCCUCCAUGAUGCAUUUUUGUCAAUAGGCACUCUGCUACACUCGCAAUGUAUAAUGAAAUAUUCCAUUCAUUUGAUUUCUAACACAUGUAUGUAAUAUCCCUUACUAAAUGGCACUUUAAAUAUAGGACAUCUCUAUUUUUAGAUAAAUAUGACCAGUACUUUCGUGCGAAACUGUCCCUUACUAUCAUAAAGAUUAUAUUUUGCUUUAAAAUAUAAACCAAUAAUUCUUAAUUGUGUUUUUUCAUCUUUAAAAAGGUUAUUGCCAUCCCAAUCUUUAGUGGGAAACUUCCUGGUAUCUUCCGCCAGUGACAGUUUACUGGCAAAUCCAGACAUGCAUUGGAAGCUUGUUGAUGUGGAGGACACAGGGACACCUGAUCCAAGAACUGUGGCAUUUCAUUCGGAGUGACAACCUGGCAUUCAGUUGAUAUGGGACCUGAUUAUUCAGAGAAUCGCAGAUUUUAUGAAGCUGUUUUUGACAAAAGAUUUGGUUUUCUCCAUCUGUGUUGCCACCAACCAUUAUGCUGAGAUGGUCAAAUCUAGGAGGAAGGAUUGUCAUUAUGCUUCCCAAGGAAGUUCACAACCUCUCACUGAAGAGAAACUGUACAUAUAUUACUAGUUUAAAGUACCGAUAUUGUAACAGUGAUUUCCAGUUUAAAAUGAAUAAUAAAAUGCAUUUUGAUAAGAUUACCUUUACCAAAAUUAAUCUGGCUGUGCAUCUAACACAUCUAUUAAAUGUGUAUUACAAUUACUCCUGGUAAAAUUUUAAAAGUAAUUAAAUGCAUGAUUUUCAAAGGGCCUUGAUUAUAGAAAACAUUUACAGAGCCAAUUGAGUAUUCAAAAGCUCUGAGAAAACAUCAGUAUUUGAGGUUAAGUAUAAAGAAAUCUUUUUUUUUUCCUUCAGAUUUUUGGGCAUUAUCUUAUACAUGUCUGCUGAGAAGUUCCAGUCGAUAAACAGAUAUUGGUCAAAGCAUGCCCCUAUCAGAACAACCCAGUAUCAAGAAUUAUGUCUAGAAAUAUGUUUUAAGAAGUUGAAUAUAAGAAGAACAUUUUUGUUAAAUAUAAUGCAAGUAUAUUUAAAUUUAGUGAUUGAAAGUAAGUACUUGAACAUUCGUAUACAAUGAACUUGGGGAGGAAAAACGGGUAUUACUUUCUCAUAACAUUUGAUAUCAUAAUGGUGUUGUUGCUUAGCAACCAAAUAUAUUUGAAUAUAAAAAAUAGAUUAUUUUAGAUUUUAACAGUAAAGAUCUUUGUUUUAAUGUUGUAAUAUUUAUACUAUUUAGUGAAACAUAAUGGCAAAACGUCAUAUUAUUAGAAAAUGAUGAAGACGUAUAUGAAGUACGAAAUUUCCAUUUUAUGACCUUUGACCUUCAUUUCCUUCAUUCCAUGUUUUUGUUAAAAACCUUUUAAAAUGAUUGAGAUCUAGUCAAAGAUUAUAUUUUUAAAAUAAUGUGACAUUUACUAAUCAUCAUGCAAUGCAAUCAUGUUUAAAUUGUGUCGAAUGGAUGUAGAAAGGCAAAUUAUGGUUAAAAUUACACAAUGAGUGCUGUUACUUAGCAACCAAAAAUAUUUGUUUUUCAAUAAAAUUAAUUAAUUUGAUUGUGAUGUUUUUGUAGUACUUUAAAAGACACAUCAGCUCAUACAUUUAGAAUUUCCUAUUUUUGACUUGAAUAUAGUGAGUAGGGUCGUAAUAUAUAUAUUCCAGAGAAAAAAAAUUAGCAAAAAUGUGCACUUAAAUGACCUUUGAUCCCGUAUAACUCUUUGGGGUCAUGGGAUAACAUGACAAACGUUAUUAAAAAAAUGUUUCCUAUCCAAUUCGUAACAAAAUUAAAUGUCACAUGCCUACCUAAAAUCGUGAUACAUGUAAAGGUAACUCGAUUUAAAAAUAUUGUCAUUUAGUCUUUAAAAACCUCUAAAAUGUGCCGGUAGAGAAAGGGUUAACCCGGUUUGAUGUUGCAUCUGUCUCUAUACAUCGCUAGUUAUAUAAAAAGAACGAAUACCAGAUGAUAGCAAAAAUAAUCUUUCGGGCUUUGAAAUGACUGUAGAUUUAUAUAUUUUUGUACCUUUUCAGUGAGGAAAUUUCUACAAAAUAACGGUAAAGUAAUAGAUUAAUUCAAUUUCAACAUGAAUGCGAGAGAAGAUCUUGGAAAUUCAGUCAGCUUCAUGUAAUAUUUGCUAAUGACCAGACAUACAUCGUGCUAGGAUUGGAUAUGUACGAAGUCACGAUCAAUUAUUAAUAUUUCUUCAUUAUCCUGAUUGAUAUUUGUAAAUAUUUAAAGAUUAUAAAAGUAAUGAAUAGAAACAUUUUUCUUAUUAUUUAAGGAAUGACUUUAAUUCUGGCGCAAGUUGUACGAGUAUAACCUAGUUUGGGUCAGUUGAAACUUUAUUAAACAAGCGUAAACUAGGUUAUACUCGUAUAAUUUGUCCCAUAAUUAAAGUGAUUCCUCAUAAUUUAAUGAAAGAGACAAAGAUACUAACAUUCGUUUAUAAAAAUGUACAUUAACUUAGAAAAAUACAAGUCGACUGAGCCGCUCAAUGAUUCACUUCGCAACAACGAGAAAGCAUCUACCUGUGAAGGUCGCCAUCUUUAAUCUUAGUUCUACGGAGCCUAAUCUAUUUAUCAAAAUAUUUUAUCGAAUGUGAAGUUUGACAUGAUAGAAAAUAUCUUUAGACUAUGCAUGCAAUGCGUAUUUCGCUGCCCUAUAGAGAUAGAGAUCGACUUUGAAGUCGCUCAUCUCCGACAGAUUGAGAAAAUACGGGAAAUUUGCAUUGUUUAGGCCUACCCAAAAUCAAUCUUCAAAUAUCAGAAAAUGCAAUAAUUUGCGGCUUUUAACUCUGUGAAAACAUUUACUAAAUGAAAACUUACCAUUGCACGCAACAUUGUUGCUAAUAGUAAAUCCGACACACAAAAAUAUUUAUAAGCAAGUGACAAAUUGCGAUCCACACGUCAAGAUGACUGACGUCAUGUGAUAAAAUCUGACGUAUGCAUUUUGCUUGCUUUGUUGAAAGACGGAUGAAGCAAUGAAACACCCCCCCCCCCCUCUCUUGAGAAAUAUAUUUCCAAAGGAAUAGGGCAAUGCUUACUUGGUAAAUUAUUAAUUCGAAUAUAAUAUCUUUGUUUUAAUCUUAUUAUUCGUUAUUCGACCAUCAUACAGAGAAAGAUGUUUUACAACAGCAUACAAGUAGAUAUUAAUAUUGACAACGAGAAAACAAUAUGUGCAUCAAAUCGAAGAAACGUAUUGUACAUGUUGACGUUCACAGUGCUGCGAUGUAAAGUUAGAGGGAGAGAGAGAGAGAGAGAGAGAGAG